CCCUUUCUUGCCUCUGUCCCGCCCCAUUCGGCUCUAAGCGCUUUGCGAUUGGCCCGGGACGAGCGGCCUGGUACCCAGAGGGCACCACCUCCUGACAGGAAGAGCGGGAAAGUGCACCAGGAGCUGUCCGAGGCGUGAAGCUCACGGGCGCGGCGGGGGAGCACACGGUUGGCUUUGCAGCGAGUUGCCCACUGUCCCAUACACAACCCCCCGCUCCCAUGACUGCCAAAAGCAUGGAGCAGGAGUCGGGGUGCGGGCACACCGUUUGUGGGCCGGCCCGGUCUAUCCCGGGGGGCUAGGACGCGACGAGGUUGGAGCGAGGAUCCGGCGGCACACUCCGGAGCGCGGAGUAUCAGAGGCCAGAGGGAACGGGCCGGGCCCCGGGGGCGGUGCCGGCGGCGGCGGCGGGAGGCGCAGAGCCCAAUGAGCGCGCGCACCGCCCCGGGGGCGGGGUCUGAGGAGCGCUCCCCCGCCCUUGCCAGCCCCCGUCCCUCCCCCCGGCGCGGGGCCGCAGUGAGUGAGUGGCACUGGCAGCCUGUCAAUCCCUCGGCCCAGCGGCCUUCCAGCCCGGUCCGCGGCGGCUGCUGGCUGGGUGCGCGGCUCCGGCGGCGGCGGCGGCGACUUCUCCCGCCCUAUCCAUCGGCUGUCCGCCCGGCGCGCGGCCCGCCGGGGCCCUCCUCCGGGCUCAGCGCCCCCGCCGCCUCUGCCCGCCCGCUCCCAAACUUUCCUCCUCCGCCCCCCCUCGCUCCCCGCGGCCCGCCCGCAGGCCUCCUCCUCCGC
RNAcentral lists this long non-coding RNA (780 nucleotides) under Homo sapiens (human). Its description in RNAcentral is "HSALNT0155377". The record is from RNAcentral. Lineage: Eukaryota; Metazoa; Chordata; Mammalia; Primates; Hominidae.